This 198-nucleotide ribosomal RNA is filed under the name uncultured bacterium. RNAcentral describes it as "partial 16S ribosomal RNA". It matches the Rfam family "Bacterial small subunit ribosomal RNA", at positions 328 to 539 of the family's 1533-position model. The record is from RNAcentral.
ACGCUCGACACCUACUGGAGGCAGCAGUGGGGAAUAUUGCACAAUGGGGGAAACCCUGAUGCAGCGACGCCGCGUGGAGGAAGAAGGUCUUCGGAUUGUAAACUCCUGUUGUUGGGGAAAAAGNGGAUGGUACCCAACAAGGAAGUGACGGCUAACUACGUACCAGCAGCCGCGGUAAUCUGAGCGGGCUGGCAAGGC